This 370-nucleotide ribosomal RNA is filed under the name uncultured bacterium. Its description in RNAcentral is "bacterial SSU rRNA". It matches the Rfam family "Bacterial small subunit ribosomal RNA", at positions 527 to 896 of the family's 1533-position model. The record is from RNAcentral.
AUAGGGUGCAAGCGUUAAUCGGAAUUACUGGGCGUAAAGCGUGCGCAGGCGGUUUUGUAAGCCAGAUGUGAAAGCCCCGGGCUUAACCUGGGAAUGGCAUUUGGGACUGCAAGGCUGGAGUGCGGCAGAGGAGACUGGAAUUCCCGGUGUAGCAGUGAAAUGCGUAGAUAUCGGGAGGAAUACCGAUGGCGAAGGCAGGUCUCUGGGCUGACACUGACGCUCAUGCACGAAAGCGUGGGGAGCAAACAGGAUUAGAUACCCUGGUAGUCCACGCCCUAAACGAUGUCGACUGGUUGUUGGGGGUUUGACACUCUCAGUAACGAAGCUAACGCGUGAAGUCGACCGCCUGGGGAGUACGGCCGCAAGGUUA